RNAcentral lists this ribosomal RNA (701 nucleotides) under uncultured Acidobacteriota bacterium. Its description in RNAcentral is "bacterial SSU rRNA". It matches the Rfam family "Bacterial small subunit ribosomal RNA", at positions 94 to 827 of the family's 1533-position model. Lineage: Bacteria; Pseudomonadati; Acidobacteriota. The record is from RNAcentral.
AGCGGCGUACGGGUGAGUAACACGUGGAUCAUCUGCCCUUUUGUGGGGAAUAACUCUGGGAAACCGGAGCUAAUACCGCAUAAGCCCGAGAGGGGAAAGCAGCAAUGCGCAGAAGGAGGAGUCCGCGGCCGAUUAGCUCGUUGGCGGGGUAAUGGCCCACCAAGGCAACGAUCGGUAGCCGGCCUGAGAGGGCACACGGCCACACUGGCACUGAGACACGGGCCAGACUCCUACGGGAGGCAGCAGUGGGGAAUCUUGCGCAAUGGGGGAAACCCUGAUGCAGCGACGCCGCGUGAGUGAUGAAGCCCUUCGGGGUGUAAAGCUCUUUCGACGGGAACGAUAAUGACGGUACCCGGAGAAGAAGCUGCGGCUAACUACGUGCCAGCAGCCGCGGUAAUACGUAGGCAGCAAGCGUUGUUCGGAAUUAUUGGGCGUAAAGAGUAUGUAGGCGGUUGGCUAAGUUUGGUGUGAAAUCUCCUGGCUUAACUGGGAGGGUGCGCUAAAUACUGGCCGGCUUGAGUGUGGGAGAGGAGAGUGGAAUGCCUGGUGUAGCGGUGAAAUGCGUAGAUAUCAGGCGGAACGCCGGUGAUGUAGAUGGCUCUCUGGACCACAACUGACGCUGAGAUACGAAAGCGUGGGUAGCAAACAGGAUUAGAUACCCUGGUAGUCCACGCCCUAAACGAUGCGGACUUGGUGUAGGC